RNAcentral lists this long non-coding RNA (1446 nucleotides) under Cricetulus griseus (Chinese hamster). Its description in RNAcentral is "lncRNA (ENSCGRG00015037720.1)". The record is from RNAcentral. Lineage: Eukaryota; Metazoa; Chordata; Mammalia; Rodentia; Cricetidae.
AUGUCAGAAGAGGGUGCCGGAUAUCUCAGGACUGGAGUUAUAGAUGGUUGUGAAUCUCCAUGUGGGUGCCGGAAACUGAACCCAGAGCCUCUGCAAGAGCAGCCAGUGCUCUUAGCCUCUGGUCCCCUCUCCGGCCCUUUCAUCUUCUUUUUUGACACAGGAAACACAUCUUGUUUUUUUUUUUUUUCUCAUCUCAGAGAAACAGAUGCUCAGUGAGCCAGGACAGCCUGGCUGACAGUGAGCUCUGGAGAUCUGCCUGUGUGUCCCCAACCCCCAUUUUGCGGUUCUGGGGUUGCAGAUGUGCCUGGCUUUAUGGCGAUGGAGUUCUCAUGCUGUGUGGCAGACAGGACUUCAAGGGUGCUCGCUAGGAAGACUGUGGAGAAUGAAAGGCCAAGGCUGGGGUGACGGACUGGCUUCAUCUCCCUGAAGGAGCUGUGGGUCGGAUGUGAGAGACGAGGGAGGCAUUGUGCUAAUGGACACAGGACAGAAAGGCUUGGCUGUGCCACACGGGAGCAGGGAGAAGAGCGAGCGGUAAGUACGCGGUAACUACGCUGGUUCAGGACUUCCGUCUAUAUUCCCACAUACUGCCGAUUUGGUGUACAACUGAAAGGCCGGCUCAGAAAGCUUUCUGUUGGUGUCCGUCAGCACUGAACUUGCUUUCGUCCAUUGCACCAUGAUCCAUCUCUGGGGCUGUACCCAAGACAGACAAGCACCCAAGUUUACCGAAAGAAUCUCUGAGAGGUUGGCACCCAGCACCUCCAAGCUAAGAACAACCACCCAGGUGCCCACCUGCAGCAGGAAGAAAUGAGUGCACCCUGAUGUGUCUAUACCAUGUGACACCGCACAGCAGAGGAAUGAACGUUGCUGUAUACACAUGGAGUGGGCGCAUCUCACGUACACGCUGAGAAAAAUAAGCUGAGGACAUCCUGCACCGGAAUAUGCAGUUCUGGAAUGGACUGGAAGGAAUCGAGGGGGAGAAAAGUCCUCACAAUUUUGGCAGCAGGAGUCUGAAAGGAAGCAAGAGGGAGCUCCCCAUGUGUGGGACGUGGUCUGGUGAAUAGAAGCACAUUUAUAAAUUCAUUCACUUAGUACCUGCGCAUUUACGGAAUGUAAGUUAUACUUCUGGGUAGAGUCAAAAUAAGAAGCAAAAAGGACUCCCAGAGAACGAAGUCAGGAGCUGCCCAGCCAGAAAGGCUGGGGACUGAUUUCUGGAGGAGGGGGCCACAUGUGCAAAGGCCCUGUGGCAGGAGUACAUGAUGGUGUUGCUUCUGGACUCUGGAUUCAUUGAUGGCACCACUAUGACUUGCUUUUUUGCUUUUCGUUUUUUUGAGACAGGGUUUCUCUGUGUAGCCCUGGCUGUCCUGGAACUUGCUCUGUAGUCCAGGCUGGCCUCGAACUCGGAGAUCUGCCUGCUUCUGUCUCCCGAGUGCUGGGAUUAAAGCUGGC